This 651-nucleotide ribosomal RNA is filed under the name Pseudomonas sp. H12. RNAcentral's name for it is "partial 16S ribosomal RNA". Lineage: Bacteria; Pseudomonadati; Pseudomonadota; Gammaproteobacteria; Pseudomonadales; Pseudomonadaceae. The record is from RNAcentral.
GCGGAUCAAGGACGGGUGCAUCCAGUGCCCGUUUCACCACUGGCGCUACGACGAGCAAGGCAAGUGCGUUCACAUCCCCGGCCACAGCGAGGUGGUGCGCCAGCUGGAGCCGGUGCCACGCGCGGCGCGCCAGCCGACGUUGGUCACCACCGAGCGAUACGGCUACGUGUGGGUCUGGUACGGCUCCCCGCAGCCGCUGCACCCGCUGCCCGAAAUCACCGCAGCCGACGUCGACAACGGCGACUUCAUGCACCUGCACUUCGCGUUCGAGACGACGACGGCGGUCUUGCGGAUCGUCGAGAACUUCUACGACGCACAGCACGCAACCCCCGUGCACGCGCUCCCGAUCUCGGCCUUCGAGCUCAAGCUCUUCGACGACUGGAGCCGGUGGCCGGAGGUUGAGUCGCUGGCCCGGGCGGGCGCGUGGUUCGGUGCCGGGAUCGACUUCCACGUGAACCGCUACUUCGGCCCCCUCGGCAUGCUGUCGCGCGCGCUCGGCCUGAACAUGUCGCAGAUGAACCUGCACUUCGAUGGCUACCCCGGCGGGUGCGUCAUGACCGUUGCCCUGGACGCAGACGUCAAAUACAAACUGCUCCAGUGUGUGACACCGGUGAGCGACGGCAAGAACAUCAUGCACAUGCUCAUCUCGAU